RNAcentral lists this long non-coding RNA (233 nucleotides) under Nicotiana benthamiana. Its description in RNAcentral is "long non-coding RNA (NBEN_LNC021788)". Lineage: Eukaryota; Viridiplantae; Streptophyta; Magnoliopsida; Solanales; Solanaceae. The record is from RNAcentral.
CAAAUUAGAUUGUAAAAAAUUAUUAUAUGCUUUAACUUAAAUCACAGAAGCGGCAUGAAGCAGCAAAGGAGGAUAAGAAAAUGUAAGUUGUUGAUACACACACAGUUGCACUAGCAGAGUCCCAUUGCGCAUAUAUAAUAUAGUUCUCAGCAAUUUUGAAAUGCUCACGUCAGAUUUCUCACGUCAUAUAAUGGUCCUACACUCGUACCCAAUGGUAUCUGAUUCUGGAAAUG